RNAcentral lists this ribosomal RNA (497 nucleotides) under uncultured bacterium. RNAcentral describes it as "partial 16S ribosomal RNA". It matches the Rfam family "Bacterial small subunit ribosomal RNA", at positions 28 to 507 of the family's 1533-position model. The record is from RNAcentral.
GAUGAACGCUGGCGGCGUGCCUAAUACAUGCAAGUCGAGCGAACAGACGAGGAGCUUGCUCCUCUGACGUUAGCGGCGGACGGGUGAGUAACACGUGGAUAACCUACCUAUAAGACUGGGAUAACUUCGGGAAACCGGAGCUAAUACCGGAUAAUAUAUUGAACCGCAUGGUUCAAUAGUGAAAGACGGUUUUGCUGUCACUUAUAGAUGGAUCCGCGCCGCAUUAGCUAGUUGGUAAGGUAACGGCUUACCAAGGCGACGAUGCGUAGCCGACCUGAGAGGGUGAUCGGCCACACUGGAACUGAGACACGGUCCAGACUCCUACGGGAGGCAGCAGUAGGGAAUCUUCCGCAAUGGGCGAAAGCCUGACGGAGCAACGCCGCGUGAGUGAUGAAGGUCUUCGGAUCGUAAAACUCUGUUAUUAGGGAAGAACAAAUGUGUAAGUAACUAUGCGCGUCUUGACGGUACCUAAUCAGAAAGCCACGGCUAACUACGUG